This 491-nucleotide ribosomal RNA is filed under the name uncultured bacterium. RNAcentral describes it as "partial 16S ribosomal RNA". It matches the Rfam family "Bacterial small subunit ribosomal RNA", at positions 29 to 507 of the family's 1533-position model. The record is from RNAcentral.
AGUGAACGCUGGCGGUAGGCCUAACACAUGCAAGUCGAACGGCAGCACAGUAAGAGCUUGCUCUUACGGGUGGCGAGUGGCGGACGGGUGAGGAAUACAUCGGAAUCUACUUUUUCGUGGGGGAUAACGUAGGGAAACUUAAGCUAAUACCGCAUACGACCUACGGUGAAAGCAGGGGAUCUUCGGACCUUGCGCGAUUGAAUGAGCCGAUGUCGGAUUAGCUAGUUGGCGGGGUAAAGGCCCACCAAGGCGACGAUCCGUAGCUGGUCUGAGAGGAUGAUCAGCCACACUGGAACUGAGACACGGUCCAGACUCCUACGGGAGGCAGCAGUGGGGAAUAUUGGACAAUGGGCGCAAGCCUGAUCCAGCCAUACCGCGUGGGUGAAGAAGGCCUUCGGGUUGUAAAGCCCUUUUGUUGGGAAAGAAAAGCAGCAGGUUAAUACCCCGCUGUUCUGACGGUACCCAAAGAAUAAGCACCGGCUAACUUCGUG